This 1243-nucleotide ribosomal RNA is filed under the name metagenome. RNAcentral describes it as "bacterial LSU rRNA". It matches the Rfam family "Bacterial large subunit ribosomal RNA", at positions 1564 to 2817 of the family's 2925-position model. The record is from RNAcentral.
UGAAUACGAGACGCUACGGCGUCGAAGCAGUCUAUGUCAUACUUCCAAGAAAAGCUCGCAAUGUCAUAAACAAAUAAUGCCUGUACCAUAACCGACACAGGUGGGUAGGUAGAGUAUACUAAGGGGCGCGAGAUAACUCUCUCUAAGGAACUCGGCAAAAUGACUCCGUAACUUCGGGAGAAGGAGUGCCUUAUUUAUAAGGUUGCAAUAACAAGAUCCAAGCAACUGUUUAUCAAAAACACAGGUCUCCGCUAAGUCGUAAGACGAUGUAUGGGGGCUGACGCCUGCCCAGUGCCAGAAGGUUAAAGAAGUUGGUUAGCAUUCGCGAAGCUGAUAACUGAAGCCCUGGUGAACGGCGGCCGUAACUAUAACGGUCCUAAGGUAGCGAAAUUCCUUGUCGGGUAAGUUCCGACCCGCACGAAAGGCGUAAUGAUUUGGAUACUGUCUCGGAGAGGGGCUCGGUGAAAUAGACUUGUCUGUGAAGAUGCGGACUACCUGCACCUGGACAGAAAGACCCUGUGAAGCUUUACUGUAACUUGAAAUUGAAAUUGGACUUUAUUUGCGCAGCAUAGGUGGGAGGCGUUGAGAGUAUUCUUGCGGGAAUAUUGGAGCCAUCAGUGAGAUACCACUCUUGUAAUGUUAGAUUUCUAACUUUGGAUCAUUAUCUGGUCAAAGAACAGUUUCAGGCGGGCAGUUUGACUGGGGCGGUCGCCUCCCAAAUGGUAACGGAGGCGUACAAAGGUUUCCUCUGAACGGGUAGAAAUCGUAUCUAGAGUGUAAAGCAUAAGGAAGCUUGACUGUGAGACCUACAAGUCGAGCAGGGACGAAAGUCGGUCUUAGUGAUCUGACGGUGCUGAGUGGAAAGGCCGUCACUCAACGGAUAAAAGUUACUCUAAGGAUAACAGGCUGAUCUCCCCCAAGAGUUCACAUCGACGGGGAGGUUUGGCACCUCGAUGUCGGCUCAUCGCAUCCUGGGGCGGUAGUACGUCCCAAGGGUUGGGCUGUUCGCCCAUGAAAGCGGUACGCGAGCUGGGUUCAGAACGUCGUGAGACAGUUCGGUCCAUAUCCGGUGUAGGCGUUAGAAUAUUGAGAGGAGCCUUCUUUAGUACGAGAGGACCGAGAAGGACAUACCUCUGGUGUACCAGUUAUCGUGCCAACGGUAAACGCUGGGUAGCUAUGUAUGGAGAGGAUAACCGCUGAAAGCAUCUAAGUGGGAAGCCCACCUCAAGAUAAGUAUUCUCGU